RNAcentral lists this ribosomal RNA (509 nucleotides) under uncultured bacterium. Its description in RNAcentral is "partial 16S ribosomal RNA". It matches the Rfam family "Bacterial small subunit ribosomal RNA", at positions 28 to 508 of the family's 1533-position model. The record is from RNAcentral.
GACGAACGCUGGCGGCGUGCUUAACACAUGCAAGUCGAACGGGCCUUGUCCCCUUUUUUUUUGGGGGUGGGGUUAGUGGCGAACGGGUGAGUAACACGUGAGUAACCUGCCCCUCACUUCUGGAUAACCGCUUGAAAGGGUGGCUAAUACGGGGUGUUCUGGCCUGCUCGCAUGGGUGGGUUUGGACAGAUUCGACCGGUUUUGGUUGUUUUGGUGGGGGAUGGGCUCGCGGCCUAUCAGCUUGUUGGUGGGGUGAUGGCCUGCCAAGGCUUUGACGGGUAGCCGGCCUGAGGGGGUGGGCGGUCACACUGGGGCUGAGACGCGGCCCAGGCUCCUACGGGAGGCAGCAGUGGGGAAUAUUGCACACUGGGCGCAAGCCUGAUGCAGCGACGCCGCGUGAGGGAUGGAGGCCUUCGGGUUGUGAACCUCUUUCGCCAGUGAAGAAGGUCCUGCUCUUUGUGGUGGGGUUGACGGUAGCUGGGUUAAUGAAGCGCCGGCUAACUACGUUC